GAUGAACGCUAGCUACAGGCUUAACACAUGCAAGUCGAGGGGCAGCAUGUUGGUUGCUUGCAACCAAUGAUGGCGACCGGCGCACGGGUGAGUAACGCGUAUCCAACCUUCCCUGUAGUAGAGAAUAGCCCGGCGAAAGUCGGAUUAAUGCUCUAUGUUGUAUUUCGAUGACAUCUGAAGAAUACCAAAGGUUUACCGCUAUAGGAUGGGGAUGCGUCUGAUUAGGUUGUUGGCGGGGUAACGGCCCACCAAGCCCACGAUCAGUAGGGGUUCUGAGAGGAAGGUCCCCCACAUGGGAACUGAGACACGGUCCAAACUCCUACGGGAGGCAGCAGUGAGGAAUAUUGGUCAAUGGACGUAAGUCUGAACCAGCCAAGUAGCGUGCAGGAUGACGGCCCUAUGGGUUGUAAACUGCUUUUAUAUAGGGAUAAAGUGCACUACGUGUAGUGUUUUGUAGGUACUAUAUGAAUAAGGACCGGCUAAUUCCGUGCCAGCCGCCGCCGUAAUAC
Molecule: ribosomal RNA, 509 nt
Filed under: uncultured bacterium
Lineage: Bacteria
Description: bacterial SSU rRNA
Rfam family: Bacterial small subunit ribosomal RNA
Source: RNAcentral